Molecule: non-coding RNA, 27 nt
Filed under: Mus musculus (house mouse)
Lineage: Eukaryota; Metazoa; Chordata; Mammalia; Rodentia; Muridae
Source: RNAcentral
UGUUAAGAGUUCAAGUGUAUACCAUGC